RNAcentral lists this long non-coding RNA (591 nucleotides) under Manihot esculenta (cassava). RNAcentral describes it as "long non-coding RNA (MESC_LNC000471)". Lineage: Eukaryota; Viridiplantae; Streptophyta; Magnoliopsida; Malpighiales; Euphorbiaceae. The record is from RNAcentral.
CAGGAGGGUGUCCAAGCGUCUUAGAAGAAACUGUCCUUGGGCGGCGCGGUCAUGAUGAUUCUCGAUAUUUACCCCCUCGACAGUCAGAUAAUAACUGCCGAGAGUGUAAAAGGGCAAUUGAUGACCGUGAGAUUUCUUCGUCCAAAUCAGAGAUGAGGCCUACGAUAUCGGCCCAUCACUCAGAUACCUUCGAGCCCUUAGUAUGAACAAGGUCUGGUUCAUUCAAAUGAUAAGGCCGGGCUCCUUCCUAGCGCGCCUCAACCGGGCUGGCCCAUUCUCCAGUUCCGAAGGGGAGCCCCCUUUAGCCUAAUUUCGUCCCCUUCAUCCGGCCCAGUCUAGCCGGCCCAACCAGGAACCUAGAGUAAGACCCAUCCGUUCAUCUUGCUGACCCGCCCGUCCGUGUUCUGAAAGGAUCAGAGGCCGUUAUGCAUGGGGCAAAGAUCUGAUUCCUUCGUAUGUCCUUAUCAGCGUGGCAGGGACAGGUGGUCUACUGAUAUUCGUUCUAUCGGCACGUCACUAGCGGACAAAAGGAAACCUAUAAAAGGAGAAAUACUCUCUUCUAGGUUUAAGCUUUUUCUAAAUUUUACAGAG